GGUGGGGUAGCCAAGUGGUUGUACGGCGCCGCUUUCGAAAAGCGGUGUCCCAAAAGGACCGUGGGUUCGAAUCCCACCCCCACCG
This 85-nucleotide transfer RNA is filed under the name Candidatus Daviesbacteria bacterium. Its description in RNAcentral is "tRNA-Ser". It matches the Rfam family "tRNA". Rfam says of the family: Transfer RNA (tRNA) molecules are approximately 80 nucleotides in length. The record is from RNAcentral. Lineage: Bacteria; Candidatus Daviesiibacteriota.